RNAcentral lists this transfer RNA (53 nucleotides) under Leskeodon auratus. Its description in RNAcentral is "partial tRNA-Phe". Lineage: Eukaryota; Viridiplantae; Streptophyta; Bryopsida; Hookeriales; Daltoniaceae. The record is from RNAcentral.
CCGGAAUAGCUCAGUUGGUAGAGCACAGGACUGAAAAUCCUCGUGUCACCAGU